UACGUAGGGUGCAAGCGUUUAAUCGGAAUUACUGGGCGUAAAGCGUGCGCAGGCGGCUUUGCAAGACAGAAUGUGAAAUCCCCGGGCUUAACCUGGGAACUGCAUUUGUGACUGCAUGGCUGGAGUGCGGCAGAGGGGAUGGAAUUCCGCGUGUAGCAGUGAAAUGCGUAGAUAUGCGGAGGAACACCGAUGGCGAAGGCAUCCCUGGGCCUGCACUGACGCUCAUGCACGAAAGCGUGGGGAGCAAACAGG
Molecule: ribosomal RNA, 252 nt
Filed under: uncultured bacterium
Lineage: Bacteria
Description: partial 16S ribosomal RNA
Rfam family: Bacterial small subunit ribosomal RNA
Source: RNAcentral